This 253-nucleotide ribosomal RNA is filed under the name uncultured bacterium. RNAcentral's name for it is "partial 16S ribosomal RNA". It matches the Rfam family "Bacterial small subunit ribosomal RNA", at positions 524 to 776 of the family's 1533-position model. The record is from RNAcentral.
UACAGAGGGUGCGAGCGUUAUUCGGAAUUACUGGGCGUAAAGCGCACGUAGGCGGCUUGGCAUGUCGGGUGUGAAAUCCCCGGGCUCAACCUGGGAACUGCAUCCGAAACUGCCUUGCUCGAGUAUGGGAGAGGGAAGUGGAAUUUCCGGUGUAGCGGUGAAAUGCGUAGAUAUCGGAAGGAACAUCAGUGGCGAAGGCGACUUCCUGGACCAAUACUGACGCUCAGGUGCGAAAGCGUGGGGAGCAAACAGG